Molecule: ribosomal RNA, 497 nt
Filed under: uncultured bacterium
Lineage: Bacteria
Description: partial 16S ribosomal RNA
Rfam family: Bacterial small subunit ribosomal RNA
Source: RNAcentral
GAUGAACGCUGGCGGCGUGCCUAAUACAUGCAAGUCGAGCGAACAGACGAGGAGCUUGCUCCUCUGACGUUAGCGGCGGACGGGUGAGUAACACGUGGAUAACCUACCUAUAAGACUGGGAUAACUUCGGGAAACCGGAGCUAAUACCGGAUAAUAUAUUGAACCGCAUGGUUCAAUAGUGAAAGACGGUUUUGCUGUCACUUAUAGAUGGAUCCGCGCCGCAUUAGCUAGUUGGUAAGGUAACGGCUUACCAAGGCAACGAUGCGUAGCCGACCUAAGAGGGUGAUCGGCCCCACUGGAACUGAGACACGGUCCAGACUCCUACGGGAGGCAGCAGUAGGGAAUCUUCCGCAAUGGGCGAAAGCUUGACGGAGCAACGCCGCGUGAGUGAUGAAGGUCUUCGGAUCGUAAAACUCUGUUAUUAGGGAAGAACAAAUGUGUAAGUAACUAUGCACGUCUUGACGGUACCUAAUCAGAAAGCCACGGCUAACUACGUG